UAGUUUGACUGGGGCGGUCUCCUCCCAAAGCGUAACGGAGGAGCACGAAGGUUAGCUAAUCCUGGUCGGACAUCAGGAGGUUAGUGCAAUGGCAUAAGCUAGCUUGACUGCGAGCGUGACGGCGCGAGCAGGUGCGAAAGCAGGUCAUAGUGAUCCGGUGGUUCUGAAUGGAAGGGCCAUCGCUCAACGGAUAAAAGGUACUCCGGGGAUAACAGGCUGAUACCGCCCAAGAGUUCAUAUCGACGGCGGUGUUUGGCACCUCGAUGUCGGCUCAUCACAUCCUGGGGCUGAAGUAGGUCCCAAGGGUAUGGCUGUUCGCCAUUUAAAGUGGUACGCGAGCUGGGUUUAGAACGUCGUGAGACAGUUCGGUCCCUAUCUGCCGUGGGCGCUGGAGAAUUGAGGGGGGCUGCUCCUAGUACGAGAGGACCGGAGUGGACGCAUCACUGGUGUUCGGGUUGUCAUGCCAAUGGCACUGCCCGGUAGCUAAAUGCGGAAGAGAUAAGUGCUGAAAGCAUCUAAGCACGAAACUUGCCCCG
Molecule: ribosomal RNA, 536 nt
Filed under: Klebsiella pneumoniae
Lineage: Bacteria; Pseudomonadati; Pseudomonadota; Gammaproteobacteria; Enterobacterales; Enterobacteriaceae
Also listed under: 1 other name
Description: partial 23S ribosomal RNA
Rfam family: Bacterial large subunit ribosomal RNA
Source: RNAcentral